This 296-nucleotide signal recognition particle RNA is filed under the name Saimiri boliviensis boliviensis (Bolivian squirrel monkey). Its description in RNAcentral is "Metazoan signal recognition particle RNA (ENSSBOG00000001364.1)". It matches the Rfam family "Metazoan signal recognition particle RNA". Rfam says of the family: The signal recognition particle (SRP) is a universally conserved ribonucleoprotein. The record is from Rfam by way of RNAcentral. Lineage: Eukaryota; Metazoa; Chordata; Mammalia; Primates; Cebidae.
GCCAGGUGCGGUGGCGCGUGCCUAUAGUCCCCAGCAACUCGAGAGGCUGAGGUGGGAGGAUCGCUUGAGCCCAGGGGUUCUGGGCUGCGCUACGCCGCUCUGGUGUCCGCACCAAGUUCGGCAUUAAUAUGGUGACCUCCCGGGAGCAGGGGACCACCAGGUUGCCUAAGCAGGGGCGAACCGGCCCAGGUCGGAAACAGAGCCAGGUCAAAACUCCGUGCUGAUCAGUAGUGGGGUCGCGCCUGUGAACAGCCACUGCACUCCAGCCUGGGCAACAUAGCGAGACCCUGUCUCUU